Molecule: ribosomal RNA, 1318 nt
Filed under: Frieseomelitta varia
Lineage: Eukaryota; Metazoa; Arthropoda; Insecta; Hymenoptera; Apidae
Description: 16S ribosomal RNA
Source: RNAcentral
AUAUAAAUAAAUUUAUAUUUUAUUUUUAUAUUUAAAUAAAUAAAAUUAUAUAAUAAAAUGAUAAUUGUAGUAAUAAUUUAAAAUUAAUAAAAUUAUUUAUAGUUUAUAAGUAAUGAAAAUGAAAUUUAUUAAAAAAUAAUAAGUAAAAUUAAAUUUGUACCUUUUGUAUCAGGGUUAAUUAAUUUAUUUUAAUAAUUUAAUUAUCUCGAAAAUAAAUGAUCUAAAUAUAUAUAUAUGUAUUAUUUUUGUUGAAUAAAAAAAAUAAAUAUAUAUUUAGAAAUUAAAUGUUUUUCGUAUUUAUUGAUAUCUAGUUUUUUUUUAAAUAAAUUUAAUUUAUAUAUAAAAAUGUAUUAAUAAAAUAAUAAUAUUUUAUUAAUUUUUUUAUAUAAAAAAUUUAUGGGAUAAACUAUAAAUUUAUUUAUAUUAUAAAAUUUAAGUAUUUUAAAAUUAUAAUUUUAAUAUUGAUUUAUAAUUGAAAAAAUUUUAUAAUUUAUUAUUUAUAUUUAAAAAUUAAUUUAAAUAUAAAUAUAUAUAUAUAAUUAUUAAAAAAAAAAUUUUUAAAAUAAUAUAAAUUAUGAUAUAAUGAUUAAAUUAGUAAUAUAAUUAUAUAAAUUGUAUUUAAUAAUAUUUAAUAUUUAUAUAAAUAUAAGGAAUUAGGCAAAAUAAAUAUAUUCACCUGUUUAUCAAAAACAUGUCUUAUUGAAAAUAAUUUUAAGUCAAUCUGCCCAAUGAAUAAAUUAAAUGGCUGCAGUAUAACUGACUGUACAAAGGUAGCAUAAUAAAUUGAUUUUUAAAUGAAAUCUGGAAUGAAAGGAUUAAUGAAAUAUAUACUGUCUCAUAUUUAUUUUAUGAAUUUAAAAUUUUAAUAAAAAUGUUAAAAUUUUUUUAUGGGACGAUAAGACCCUAUAGAAUUUUAUAUUAAUUUAAUUUUGUAUUAUAAAAUAUAAAAUUUAAUUUAAUAUUUAAUUGGGAGAAUUAUUAAAUUUAAUAAAUUUUAAUUUAAUAUAAACUUUAAUUUAAGAAAAUAUUUUGAUCUAUAAUUUAUAAUUAUUAGAUUAAAUUACCUUAGGGAUAACAGCGUAAUAUUUUUUUAUAGAUCACAUAGAAAAAAAUGAUUGCGACCUCGAUGUUGAAUUAAGAUAAAUUUUAAAUGUAGAAGUUUAAUAAUUAAGUCUGUUCGACUUUUAAAAUCUUACAUGAUUUGAGUUCAAAUCGACGUAAGUCAGAUUGGUUUCUAUCUAUAAAUAUAUUUAAUUUAUUUGUACGAAAGGACUAUAAUUUAUAAAUUAUUUAUUUAUUUUAAUUAAUUAAUAUUUAU